UGGUUCCUGACUGAUUGGUCGAAGAUUAGUUAGUCUCUCCCACAUACAUAAGACAAGAAUGUAUCAGGAUUUGAAAUUCUAGCUCAGCAACCCUAACAGAGAAUACUUUGGAGGAAAUAUCAGUGCAGAGCAAUUAUUGCUAUCUAUAAGCUAGGCUAGAAGAGGAGCACUCCAUUGAGGAUAAUAGAUUUACUUAAAUUUGUCCACAGGUGUGUCCUGAAUUUUGCUUUUUUUUUUUAAACAUUAAUUCAUGAGAAAUUUCUUCUGAUAAAAACAGCUAAGUAAAAUUGAUAAUACAGUGCCUUUACCUGAUGGUGUAUGCAGCAUUUUACAUCUAUAGCAUCGCUUCUCUAUUUUUUAAUGAACAUAAACCUAUUUUCUUUCCCUCCUAUUUCCAUUGAAAAGAAAUUCUCACAACAAAUAUGCAUUAUCAAACAAAACAAAUUCCCAUGAUGUCUGUAUAGAAAAUAAAUGUCUCAUAAUUCACCCUAAACCUAUCAUCUUUCUGUCAUGAAUAGCAUUCUUCAUCUUUGGUCCUAUGGAAUCAUGAAUGGUCAUUCUAUUGAUUGUGUUUCUUACACCUUUCAAAGUUAUUUGUUUUUAACCAUAUUGCUGAUGUUUAAAUUGUUUUCUUAGUUGUAUUCAUUUGACUUUUCAUCAGUUUAUAUAAAUCUUCAGACAUUCAUUUUUGUUAUAACGAUAUUAUAACAAAUUAUUCUCUAGUUCUGCUUACUUCACUCUGCAAUCGGUCCAUAUAAUUUUUGGGCUCUCUCUUUGAAACCAGUCAUUUCCUUAUCAGUGACAGUACAAUACUCCAUCACAUUCAUAUUCUACAACUUAUUCCUAAUUCAUAGGCAGCUCCUUUUCCAGUUUUCCACCACAAAACUAGCUAUUAGUUUUGUAAUAUAAACGACCUUUUCCUCUUUUUUUUUAAAUUUCUUUUGGGUAUAGUUCUUUAACUAUCUAUCAGCGCUUUAACUGGGUAAAAAUAUACACACACUCUUUAGUUACUUUUAAAUUAUAUUUCCAAAUUGUUUUCUGUAGUGGUUAUAUUCAUUCAUAGGACCACUCAUAAUGCAUCAAUAUGCCUGUCUCUUGUCAUAACCCUGCCAACAUUUCUUUUUUCUGUUAUCUUUGCCCACUCUGAUCAGUGCCAGAUAGAAUCUCAGAAUUGCUUUAAUUUGCAUUUCUUCUCACAAAGCUAUAGGUAGCUUGGGUUUUUUGCUUUGGGAACUGCAUGUUCAUCUCAAUUUGAGAAUGUUUUUUUUUCUUCUAAAUUUGAAUAAUUUGUUAUUCAUCUUGGAAAUGAAACCUUUAUUAGAGAAACUUGUUGCAACAUGUUUUUCUUCAAAUAACUGUUUCCCUUUUAAUUUUUAUUAUAUUUGCUUAUUCAAAACUUUUUUCAU
RNAcentral lists this long non-coding RNA (1406 nucleotides) under Sarcophilus harrisii (Tasmanian devil). RNAcentral's name for it is "lncRNA (ENSSHAG00000028506.1)". The record is from RNAcentral. Lineage: Eukaryota; Metazoa; Chordata; Mammalia; Dasyuromorphia; Dasyuridae.